RNAcentral lists this ribosomal RNA (758 nucleotides) under Haloanella gallinarum. Its description in RNAcentral is "partial 16S ribosomal RNA". Lineage: Bacteria; Pseudomonadati; Bacteroidota; Flavobacteriia; Flavobacteriales; Flavobacteriaceae. The record is from RNAcentral.
GNUUNCUGUCGUCCCCACGCUUUCGUCCCUCAGCGUCAGUUAAAUCUUAGNGACCUGCCUUCGCAAUUGGUGUUCUAAGUAAUAUCUAUGCAUUUCACCGCUACACUACUUAUUCCAGCCACUUCAAAUUUACUCAAGACCUGCAGUAUCAAUGGCAGUUUCACAGUUAAGCUGUGAGAUUUCACCACUGACUUACAGAUCCGCCUACGGACCCUUUAAACCCAAUAAAUCCGGAUAACGCUUGCACCCUCCGUAUUACCGCGGCUGCUGGCACGGAGUUAGCCGGUGCUUAUUCGUACAGUACCUUCAGCUUCCCACACGUGGAAAGGUUUAUCCCUGUACAAAAGAAGUUUACAACCCAUAGGGCCGUNGUCCUUCACGCGGGAUGGCUGGAUCAGGCUCUCACCCAUUGUCCAAUAUUCCUCACUGCUGCCUCCCGUAGGAGUCUGGUCCGUGUCUCAGUACCAGUGUGGGGGAUCACCCUCUCAGGCCCCCUAAAGAUCAUUGACUUGGUGAGCCGUUACCUCACCAACUAUCUAAUCUUGCGCGUGCCCAUCUCUAUCCGCCGGAGCUUUCAAUGUCGAAUGAUGCCAUUCAACAUAUUAUGGGGUAUUAAUCUUCCUUUCGAAAGGCUAUCCCCCAGAUAAAGGCAGGUUGCACACGUGUUCCGCACCCGUGCGCCGCUCUCAAUUGCCCGAAAGCAAUCUACCGCUCGGCUUGAUGUGUUAGGCCUCCGCUAGCGUCAUNCUGACCAGGAU